AUUGAACGCUGGCGGCAGGCCUAACACAUGCAAGUCGAGCGAGCGGCGGACGGGUGAGUAAUGUAUGGGGACUGCCCGAUCGAGGGGGAUAACUACUGGAAACGGUAGCUAAUACCGCAUACUAUCGGAUCACCCAUAUGGGAUUAGCUAGUAGGUGAGGUAAUGGCUCACCUAGGCGACGAUCCCUAGCUGGUCUGAGAGGAUGAUCCGCCACACGGGGACUGAGACACGGCCCAGAAUCAUACGGAGGCAGCAGGGGGGAAGAUUGCACAAUGUGCGCAAGCCUGAUGCAGCCAUGCCGCGGGUAUGAAGAAGGCCCGAGGGGUGUAAAGUACUUGCAGUCGGGAGGCGGUACCGACAGAAGAAGCACCGGCGAACGCCGUGCCAGCAGACGCGGUAAUAC
This 403-nucleotide ribosomal RNA is filed under the name uncultured bacterium. RNAcentral describes it as "partial 16S ribosomal RNA". It matches the Rfam family "Bacterial small subunit ribosomal RNA", at positions 29 to 526 of the family's 1533-position model. The record is from RNAcentral.